UACGAAGGGGGCUAGCGUUGCUCGGAAUCACUGGGCGUAAAGCGCACGUAGGCGGCUUUCUAAGUCAGGGGUGAAAUCCUGGAGCUCAACUCCAGAACUGCCUUUGAUACUGGAGAGCUUGGGUCCGGGAGAGGUGAGUGGAACUCCGAGUGUAGAGGUGAAAUUCGUAGAUAUUAGGAAGAACACCAGUGGCGAAGGCGGCUCACUGGUCCGGUACUGACGCUGAGGUGCGAAAGCGUGGGGAGCAAACAGG
Molecule: ribosomal RNA, 253 nt
Filed under: uncultured bacterium
Lineage: Bacteria
Description: partial 16S ribosomal RNA
Rfam family: Bacterial small subunit ribosomal RNA
Source: RNAcentral